This 443-nucleotide ribosomal RNA is filed under the name uncultured bacterium. Its description in RNAcentral is "partial 16S ribosomal RNA". It matches the Rfam family "Bacterial small subunit ribosomal RNA", at positions 338 to 795 of the family's 1533-position model. The record is from RNAcentral.
CCUACGGGCGGCUGCAGUGGGGAAUAUUGGGCAAUGGGCGCAAGCCUGACCCAGCAACGCCGCGUGAAGGAAGAAGGCUUUCGGGUUGUAAACUUCUUUUCUCAGGGACGAAGCAAGUGACGGUACCGGAGGAAUAAGCCACGGCUAACUACGUGCCAGCAGCCGCGGUAAUACGUAGGUGGCAAGCGUUAUCCGGAUUUACUGGGUGUAAAGGGCGUGUAGGCGGGACUGCAAGUCAGAUGGGAAAACCCUGGGCUCAACCUAUGGCCUGCAUUUGAAACUGUAGUUCUUGAGUACUGGCGAGGCAGCCGGAAUUCCUCGUGUAGCGGUGACAUGCGUAGAUAUUCGGAGGAACACCAGUGGCGAAGGCGGUCUGCUGGACCGCACCUGACGCUGAGGCGCGAAAGCGUGGGGAGCAAACAGGAUUAGAUACCCGUGUAGUC